Molecule: long non-coding RNA, 3607 nt
Organism: Triplophysa rosa
Lineage: Eukaryota; Metazoa; Chordata; Actinopteri; Cypriniformes; Nemacheilidae
Exons: 4
Source: RefSeq, a predicted model, not a curated record
GAUUGUUUACUGGUCCCCAACAGCUUCAACGAUGGCAGGCGGAAGUGGAAGAAUCUUCCUUUUCCUGGAGGACGUAUGGAAAUACAAGAUGAGGUUCUGCUGGCAGAUGAGUCUAUUCAAGAUUCAAAAGCUUUACUGCGAGCUUCUUUUCUCAGCCGAAUAUAAAAUGUGACAUUCUCAAAGAUAUCCUGGUUACUCUUUUCCAUACAAUGGAAGUAAAUAAGGACUCAUGAAGCAUACUGGAAGAACUGGGCAGACAUCUAAAGAUGUGGUUAGGAAACGGAAGUUGUUGAGCUGUGUUUUUAUCCCAUGUGGGCUAUGGGAUAAUAUUCUGAUGGUUAUAUGCACAUGUAAUAUCCAGUUUGUCUUCUCUUUUUUGUUUAAUCCAGAUAUAUAGUUUUGUCUAAAGAGAAAAUUAAAUGGCUCUAUAGUAGUAUAUCUGAGCACUUGUUUGAUUCUGAAGGUCAUAUGCGGUUUGGUUUGUAGGAUUUAAUGUACAUUAGCAUGUAAAUGACUUUGUGUUUGAUUGGUGUUGACAUAUGGUAAUGAAGCAUAAUAGAUUUGUGCAGUCUGAGCAUGUGUCUCAUUCACACUGAUAGAGUUUCUAUUUCAGUAUAUACUAGAACCUGGGGAUUACAUCCCAUGAUUUCUGUGCUUUCAUUUGUUGCUAUGAUACUGUAAGGUAUAUAAUUGUUUUAAUUUUUGCCCCUAAAAGUCACUUCUGUCUUAAAAAACAUUUUGCCUAAUUGUGUUGCAUGUUUUGGUUAGUGUUUUACCAUUCCUUUGAUUUAAAUGGGAUUUUCAAGACUAAUUUUGUCAGCAAUGACUGUGAUUUGAGAAUAAUCUCCAUUAAAUCAAAUAUUUUCCUAUACUUUACUAUUUUAUUAUAUUUAAUGCCAUCCAACAGAACAAAAAAACAAACAAAAUGUGACUGGUUGCUGUUCAUGUCUGUCCGCCCAAACGUCUGGUUAGUAUGGAAUGACAAAGCAAUAAUGUUGUUUUCUUCGGAAUAAAGUACGCAACUUUCCUGCCUCCUGAGACAACACCUUAUAUUUCACCAUUGGAUUUUAAAGGUGACUUUAAUCAGAUUUGCAUCCUUUAGACGGCAUUACCGACUCAUGAACACACUAAACCUGACUCACAAACACAUUGCUGGUGCACUAGUUAAGGUAGCGUGUUCACUGAAUUUGGGUUCAGGCGAUAUUGUAACGCCAAAAAUUUAGAGUUUAGUAGAGAGUGCUUGUUGAAGUUCACUCUCUAUGACGCCCAGAGACAUCAAACAUUCAGCGACAUUCUCCGCUAAAAAUAACCUUCACCUAGAGCGGCGCGCCGUGCUGAGUGAGGAUUUCAGAAAUGAAAGUCCACCUGGGGCCUGAGCCGUACACGACCGCACCAGCCCCGCGGACAUGCAAACAUGCAUCAUCAUCACAAUGAUUGUCCGGCCUGCAGCGUGUUUCACAGUGAGACGGAGCAGAGAUGGAAGUUAUCGUGAUGAUAAAGACCACCCCCAGCCCUUUUAAAGACAAAAGAGAGUUUAACGCCAUACAACUUGUGAGUACCGGGUAAAUUGUAUGAGUGCUUGUGAGGAAAAAACAAAUCACUAAAUUUGCCAAAUUUAAGUCGUUUAUUUGUUGAAUGUCUUAGAAAGAUAUUUAGAGUUUUGUGAGAGUGGCAGGACAGUACAUUUGUUUAGUUUUCGAUCCGUGGAAUAAUCUGUUCUAAAAGUGAGUCACAGCAAAUUUGCGCUAACUUUUUUCUGUACAGCUGCUCUGUUCUUUGGUGUAUCCUAAAUUUCAGAAGAAAAACUUCUUACAUCCACUAUGCUUUACAGAAAAAAUAAUGUUUUACACGUGUGAUCCCACACUGCAAAAACUAUUUUCUUACUUAGUAUUUUUUUGUCUUGUUUUAGAGUAGAAAUACUAAGCGUUCUUAAAUCAAGAUACUUGAUAAGCAACUUGACUUCUUUAAGUCUUGUUUUCUUAAAAAUGCAUCAAAAUCAAGUCCGUUUUUGCUUACAGGAACUACAUAAAUAAAUAUUUGCCAACAAGAUUGUUUUUCCUACCCCAUUGACAGAUUUGUUUCUUGUAAGCCAAACUUGAUAUAUUGUUAAUAUAUAUCUUUUUCAAGUGAAUGUAUACUGAUUUAAGAAUGUUUAGGUAUUUGUACUGAAAAGCGAGAUCAUUUUUUGCAGUACAUGUGGAAACCAUGUCACAGGUUUCACAUGUGACCCCGUUUUGCGCAUGUGAAUUUUUCAUGUGGCUUUACUCUAAGGGACAUAAAGUAAAGCCAACCUGUCAUUGGUUACUUUACAUGUCAAUCAAAUAGCCUUCCGAGUUUCUUCUUGUCUAAGCGGUUCUUGGACAGAAUACACUCAGUGUGGAGUCCUGUAGGACAGCGUGCUAUCAUUUGAGAGAACAGAAAGACGACCAUAUUGGAUUUAAUCUCAUUCUCCAUGCAGACAGCUAAAUCUGCACACGCUGAUAAGCAUGUUAAAUCCUUUAUUGAUAAGAGGCCAAUUAUAAAACCGCAGAGAGCAGAAGAUGCCAACAUCCCAACUGUUUCUGAGCAGUCCCGGUGUGAUCCUCCUGUCUCAUUAACAUGCAGUGAUGAUGAACGCCCCACUGCGCUCAGAUGAUCCGCACGCGGGCCAGAGAAAGUUCUUCCUGUUCUCAACACUGCCAGGUAGCAGGAUUACCACGGCUGGUUUAGCUCAGCUCAGACGCCAUGCCCACGGACCGCUGGCUGAACGUCUGAUGCAUACGCCACAGUAUAUAACCUAAUGCGAGUGUAUGGUGCGUUUUUGGUGUUGGUGUGGUUGCCAUAGAUGUUUGAAGCUAACUUUAUCUCCUCCCCCCUUCAGGUCUGAGGUUUAAUAGAAUGUUGCCCAAAUAUUACAGUAUGUCUGCAUUUAUGUCUUUUUAAAAUAAUAAUUUUCAGCCUCACAAUAUUCACAACAUGGAGCUUAGAACAGCAUCUUUUUUUACAAAGUUUCUUUUUUUAUCGGCAUCUCUUUUUAACACAGUAUCUUAGGACAAAUGUGCAAUUUUAUACUCUAUUGGAUGAAUAUAAUUAUUUUGAAUAAUUGGUAUAAUUUUCAGUAUAGAUCUUUUUGUAUCUACCGCCUAUUCUUAAAUGCCUUUUUUGUACACAAAUUGUGAAAAGCACUAAAGAAAUAAAACCAAAAUGAAUAUCAGCCAGGGCUUAUAGAAACAUAUUAAAUAAACACAAUAUAAACUAUCAUCACCAAUACAAUAUUGUGAGGCUGAAUAUAGAGAGGCCAAUAUAUGAUCCCAACAAAACCUUCCUCGAUUAACACACAGUGUAAAAUGUUCAGUAUAAUCACGGUGACUUUAACUAGUUUACAUUACGCAAGUCAUCCAAAAUAGGUCAUUGAUUUUAACUUAGUUUUUUAAGUUAGAGUAACUCAACGUUGGCCAAAAAUGUAAAAUAACCAUUUGAACCAAUUUGAUUGUGCUUAAAAAUGUAAGGCAGCAAAAAGCAUGCUUUAAAGUGCCAAAGAUGAUAUGAUGGGAAUCAACAGCCAGCAGAUUCAGUGUGUUUCCUACACACACUUUCUAGAAACAAGAAAUAAAAAAGCACAGUUCAG